Molecule: small RNA, 29 nt
Filed under: Bombyx mori (domestic silkworm)
Lineage: Eukaryota; Metazoa; Arthropoda; Insecta; Lepidoptera; Bombycidae
Description: ovarian small RNA-14134
Source: RNAcentral
CGAAGCACCGAGGACAACGCCACGGCCUG